Molecule: small nucleolar RNA, 86 nt
Filed under: Rhinolophus ferrumequinum (greater horseshoe bat)
Lineage: Eukaryota; Metazoa; Chordata; Mammalia; Chiroptera; Rhinolophidae
Description: Small nucleolar RNA U3 (ENSRFEG00010015932.1)
Rfam family: Small nucleolar RNA U3 (bases 1-41)
Source: Rfam by way of RNAcentral
AAGACUAUACUUUCAGGGAUCAUUUCUAUAGUAUGAGACAUUUUUAAGUCACAAAGACUCUUUAUUUAGAGAAAAAGCUCGGUGUU